Molecule: ribosomal RNA, 483 nt
Filed under: uncultured bacterium
Lineage: Bacteria
Description: partial 16S ribosomal RNA
Rfam family: Bacterial small subunit ribosomal RNA
Source: RNAcentral
UUGCACGCUGGCGGCAGGCCAAACACAUGCCAGUCGAGCGGAUGAAGGGAGCUUGCUCCUGGAUUCAGCGGCGGACGGGUGAGUAAUGCCUAGGAAUCUGCCUGGUAGUGGGGGAUAACGUCCGGAAACGGGCGCUAAUACCGCAUACGUCCUGAGGGAGAAAGUGGGGGAUCUUCGGACCUCACGCUAUCAGAUGAGCCUAGGUCGGAUUAGCUAGUUGGUGGGGUAAAGGCCUACCAAGGCGACGAUCCGUAACUGGUCUGAGAGGAUGAUCAGUCACACUGGAACUGAGACACGGUCCAGACUCCUACGGGAGGCAGCAGUGGGGAAUAUUGGACAAUGGGCGAAAGCCUGAUCCAGCCAUGCCGCGUGUGUGAAGAAGGUCUUCGGAUUGUAAAGCACUUUAAGUUGGGAGGAAGGGCAGUAAGUUAAUACCUUGCUGUUUUGACGUUACCAACAGAAUAAGCACCGGCUAACUUCGUG